Long non-coding RNA from Coturnix japonica (Japanese quail), 2455 nucleotides. RefSeq lists it as uncharacterized. Lineage: Eukaryota; Metazoa; Chordata; Aves; Galliformes; Phasianidae. The record is from RefSeq and is a predicted model, not a curated record.
UGAGUGCUGGAGUUCAAGGAGCAUCUGGACAGCGCUCUCAGACAUAGGGUUUGGAUUUUGGGUGGCCCUGCGCGGAGCCAGGAGUUGGACUUGAUGGGGAAGGCAGAAGAUGGCCCUGGGCAAUGUGUGAUUUCCUUCAUGACAGGCAGUGGUUACCAGGCAGGAGUAUGAGAGCAGUUUGUCGUCAGAGGGGUCAGCUCACACCUUGUUUUGGGGUUGGUUAGGGGCUGAGCUAGCUCACAAGUGGUAAGGUAGAAACUAGAAAAGCUGGGUGAGUGCCGGAAGCAGAACAGAAAAGGUCAUCGUGUGUGUAUUUGUGUAGGAGAUUAAAUUGAGCAGGGGCAGGCAGGGCAGACAUCUGAGUGAACCUGCGUGUAUUGGAGGUGAUGGACAGAGAACAUUCUGGAACGUUUCAAGCUGUAAAAGGUGACGGUCUUUGUGGAGAAACGGUGGGUUGGAACUCCCAGUGUGUGACAUUAAGAGGAAUGAGAUACUUCUCUCACAUCCUUUUCUUUUGUCUUUGCUGGUUGAAAUACUAAGUUCCAGCAUUACAGCUAGUGCUCUCCUUACCACAAAUAUGAGUUUUAUAUCAAAAGAGAGCAGAGAAAACAAACUGUCCCUGCCUCUUGGAGGAAGCAGAGAUUGCUUGGAGAUGACAUGGUGCUGCAGUACUUCUGUACAUUCCAGCGGUGAGCAAUGGGGUCCUGUUUAGUAGAUUAUGUAGAUGUCUGUGAUUAUUCAUCCAGGUUAAACUUUUAUUCACUAAUCGCACUCUCUCUAAUAGGUGUUUUUACUUCUGGCUCUGUUUUGUUUUACCUUGAUUUGAGCACUGCUUUUUUUACACCGUGCUAAUUUGUGGUUUCUUUCACUGAUGGGGAACAGCUGGAGCUGUAGUAAUGCAUGCGCACAUCUGCGUAGGUAUGUUAGAGACCAGAACUUGGGGCAAGAUUGUAGGCAGCCUUUGAAACAAACAUGCCAGGGAAAAAUCUUCACAUGCAACAGAUACAUGCAAAUGCACCUCACUGCUUUGUGUGCACCCAUGUGAGUACAUUCUUGAUUUGAAAGCGUACCAAGGUGCUUGUAAAAUACCUGCUAUAGCAUAUGAUCAUUAGAUGACUAGAUGACUUAGUUAUGCCUACAUUGAUCCCUGUUAUUGCUGUCUAGAUUUCCCUUGACAUAUGCUUCAUUCUACUUAAUUUCACUUUGAUUUUACUUUAUUACUGUAUGGGUGAGAAUUAUUUUGGUUGCUUUAAUGCAAUAAUUCUUUUCUUAUUUGGACUUACUUAUACUUCUAUUUUUAAAGGAAGGAACAUUCAUUAUGUUUUCUUCUGAAUUUCCAUUUUGCAUGUUAACAUUUACAGCUUGUAGGGUGGUUUCAUCUGUGCCAUCUGCGUGCCAUAUUGUACAUCAGAUGGUGGGAUACAAUCCGUAACAAGAACGUUUUGGGACGUUAAAGUCUUUCAGGAUUUGAAGUAAUGAUAUUCACAGCACGAAUGUGUGGAGCCGCUCAUAUAACUGAAAUAGAAGACGCGGAAUGCCAAAGCAGCUGCCGAGUGAAAGAGAGACCACACAGUUGGGGCAGCAUACAAGCAGCGAGGACAAAAGAACGUUUGAGGGAACAAGAAAGUGCAACUUCAGGCAGUGGGAAACUGGAGUCAAUCGCUGGGAAUUAUUGACAAGCAGCCAUGCGCCCACACAGAGAUUAGAGGCUCACUUAGGGAUGCAAUGUCAGCUAAUACUAUGUAAAGAGUCAGUAGCAAAAAGGCACCUGGCUUGGUGUUUUCUGAUCCCUGACUAGGCAACUUUGUCAUUUAUUGUUGGGCUUUAGACAUGUUCACAGUCACGAAGCAAGCAAGACAACAUCACCUGUACUAUAUUCUUGUUACAAAGGACUGCCUAAGAGCUAACGAUGACGUUACAGUUUGCGCAAGGAUUGAUAGGGCCCAGUGGAACUCCAGAUGCUGAUAGAAGCACAAGCUAUUAAGAAUGUAACACUAAGUGCAGAAAAUGGCCCUGAAUUCGCUGUGGAUCCAAGAUGUGGAAACUGGGCACUUUACAGAUUCGCCGGAUAUCUGCUCCUGGUGUCUGAGUCCUCUCUACAUCUGCCCUGAUUGUCAGCACCAGGGACUUGAACAUUGUGUAGAAGGAAACUUGAAAAUCACAAGACUUUGAGGUAUUGAUUUCCAAAUAAAACUGAGGGUGAAGAGAAAAGCACACUGUGAGCAGAAGGUGAAACGGAAGGAAAUCCUAUUGACAGUGAGAGCUGAAAGUGGAUACUAGAAGUAGCUUGUAAAAUCCUUCAAGCGGUACUGCCAGGGAGGGAACCAGAAAUUAAUGACAUUGUUUUUGCCAUGUGUGGAUGGACAAGAAAGGGAAACAGGUAAACACAGCACUUGUUACUGGUUGAAACAGUCUUCUCUGGCUUCAUCAAACGCUUUGGUCUACUACCUGCUCU